UUUGGCUAAGAUCAAGUGUAGUAUCUGUUCUUAUCAGUUUAAUAUCUGAUAUGCGGGUCAUCGACCCACUUGAUAUUAAUCUUAUUUUUGGAGGGGGAAAAGGGCCGUCACACUAGCUUGCUAGUGGGUCUUUCUUCUGAUAAAUUGUCGCCUUGGUCCUACACUAUCACCAAGGCCUGGCACCCCAAUUCAUAGUUCAAGCUUUUUGUUUAAGUUUAUUUUUACGAUUUACGAUCAAUGCCUCGUGGUGUUCUUCUGAACCUAGAUAAGCUCAAGCUCCUCAACUGUUUGACAUGGCGAUUCGCCUUGUGUGCACUGUUUUCAUGAUAGCAUCACAGCUCUGUGGACUGUACCCUCUUUGGCUUGGCUGGGUGUUCUUCUUUAUCUUUUACCUAUCGGCUUGCGUAGCAUAUUACACUGUUUACGCUUUCCACCGAGCAUCCGUACAAGAUUUCCCACUUACUUUCCAUCAGAGGGAUCUUGUUUGUCUGCUUUUGGCAGGGUGGUGUACUCAAGGCUCUUGUGGCAACGGGCUUAAUGAAAAACAAUCAUUAUUGGCGGCAAGAGCUACAUAACAAGUAGAUGAGUGUCUACGCGUUGUGGCGGUAUUUUUAAAAAGUGUUGGUUAAAUAUGGUUGUACCUUGUUUUGUUGCGUGAAUGUACAAAAAAAACACAUGGGCAGUAUAUAAGAUAGAACUCAUUUGAAAUAUGUUAAUUGAAA
This is a long non-coding RNA of Erigeron canadensis, 722 nucleotides long. RefSeq lists it as uncharacterized. The transcript is spliced from 3 exons. The record is from RefSeq and is a predicted model, not a curated record. Lineage: Eukaryota; Viridiplantae; Streptophyta; Magnoliopsida; Asterales; Asteraceae.